RNAcentral lists this long non-coding RNA (284 nucleotides) under Homo sapiens (human). RNAcentral describes it as "HSALNT0249994". Lineage: Eukaryota; Metazoa; Chordata; Mammalia; Primates; Hominidae. The record is from RNAcentral.
ACUAUCUCAAAAUACCAAGAGAGAAAAAUGUCUGCGUGGUAUCUGUCCAUGGUACCAACGGAACCCAAAUGUCCCCGUUUUCAGAACCAUGUAAGAAAGCUCUGUUGCAACCAACUUGAGUCUUAGGGAGAGUUUUGGCUCACUUGAAGAGCUUGGUCCAAAAGGAGGCCUUUCAAGAGUAGAUUAUAGCCGCCUGCAGAAAUUCCUGAGGCAAUUUACUAAGAAAAGAGAUGCAAAGAACAAACACAGAAAGCAACAAUGACUCCACCGCUCCCCUCCUUCCU